This 254-nucleotide ribosomal RNA is filed under the name uncultured bacterium. RNAcentral describes it as "partial 16S ribosomal RNA". It matches the Rfam family "Bacterial small subunit ribosomal RNA", at positions 524 to 776 of the family's 1533-position model. The record is from RNAcentral.
UACAGAGGGGGCAAGCGUUGUUCGGAAUUACUGGGCGUAAAGGGCGCGUAGGCGGCCUUCUAAGUCGAACGUGAAAUCCCCCGGGCUCAACCCGGGAACUGCGUCCGAUACUGGCAGGCUUGAGUCCGGUAGGGGAGUGUGGAAUUCCUGGUGUAGCGGUGAAAUGCGCAGAUAUCAGGAGGAACACCGGCGGCGAAGGCGGCACUCUGGGCCGGUACUGACGCUGAGGAGCGAAAGCGUGGGGAGCGAACAGG